CAGAGCAUAGCUAAACUAGUUAAAGCCCCUCUUUUACACUGAAAAGAUGUCCGUGCAAAUCGGACUGCCCUGA
This 73-nucleotide transfer RNA is filed under the name Lepidoblepharon ophthalmolepis. RNAcentral's name for it is "tRNA-Val". It matches the Rfam family "tRNA". Rfam says of the family: Transfer RNA (tRNA) molecules are approximately 80 nucleotides in length. Lineage: Eukaryota; Metazoa; Chordata; Actinopteri; Pleuronectiformes; Citharidae. The record is from RNAcentral.